Molecule: ribosomal RNA, 301 nt
Filed under: uncultured bacterium
Lineage: Bacteria
Description: partial 16S ribosomal RNA
Rfam family: Bacterial small subunit ribosomal RNA
Source: RNAcentral
CAGUCGCACGGGAAUACAGAGGGUGCGAGCGUUAAUCGGAUUUACUGGGCGUAAAGCGUGCGUAGGCGGCUAAUUGAGUCGGAUGUGAAAUCCCUGAGCUUAACUUAGGAAUUGCAUUCGAUACUGGGAAGCUAGAGUAUGGGAGAGGAUGGUAGAAUUCCAGGUGUAGCGGUGAAAUGCGUAGAGAUCUGGAGGAAUACCGAUGGCGAAGGCAGCCAUCUGGCCUAAUACUGACGCUGAGGUACGAAAGCAUGGGGAGCAAACAGGAUUAGAUACCCCAGUAGUCCCUGUCUCUUAUACA